This 301-nucleotide ribosomal RNA is filed under the name uncultured bacterium. RNAcentral's name for it is "partial 16S ribosomal RNA". It matches the Rfam family "Bacterial small subunit ribosomal RNA", at positions 509 to 807 of the family's 1533-position model. The record is from RNAcentral.
CAGUAGCCGCGGUAAUACGAAGGGUGCAAGCGUUAAUCGGAAUUACUGGGCAUAAAGCGUGCGUAGGCGGCUUGUUAAGUCUGCUGUGAAAUCCCCGGGCUCAACCUGGGAAUGGCAGUGGAUACUGGCAAGCUAGAGUGUGUCAGAGGAUGGUGGAAUUCCCGGUGUAGCGGUGAAAUGCGUAGAGAUCGGGAGGAAUACCGAUGGCGAAGGCAGCCAUCUGGCCUAAUACUGACGCUGAGGUACGAAAGCAUGGGGAGCAAACAGGAUUAGAUACCCCUGUAGUCCCUGUCUCUUAUAC